This 1347-nucleotide ribosomal RNA is filed under the name Pyronema omphalodes. Its description in RNAcentral is "SSU rRNA". It matches the Rfam family "Bacterial small subunit ribosomal RNA", at positions 216 to 1519 of the family's 1533-position model. Lineage: Eukaryota; Fungi; Ascomycota; Pezizomycetes; Pezizales; Pyronemataceae. The record is from RNAcentral.
CGCUUUAAGAUGUUCUUCAUAUUUCGGAUAGGUAGUAGUUAAAGUAAUUGUUUAACUAGCCAGAAAUUCCGUAGUCGGGGCUGAGAGGUCGAUCGACCACAUUGGAGAUGAGACAAGUCCAAUGCGCAAUUGUACAGCAGUGAGGAAUAUUGGUCAAUAGCCUAACGGCUGAACCAGCAAUUUGAAGGAAUAUAGGUUUAUAACGUUGUAGAACCUUUGUUCAGGAUACUAAAAUGAUAAUGACAAUUUAGUAUUUAUAGUCUUGACCAAAUCACGUGCCAGCAGUCGCGGUAAGACGUGAAAGACGAGUGUUAUUCAUCAUGAAUAGGUUUAAAGGGUACCUAGACGGUAAAUCUUGCCUUUUAAUGGGAACAGAUUUACUAGAGUUUUAUAUGAGAAGGGGAGAAUUAGAGGUGUAGAGAUGAAAUUUUUUGAUACCUCUAGGACUGGUAAUGGCGUAGGCAACCUUCUAAGUAAAAACUGACGUUGAGGGACGAAGGCUUUGGUAACGAACUGGAUUAGAUACCCGAGUAGUCUUAGCAGAAAAUGCUGAAUGCCAUUGGUUAGAGUAAGCAAUACGACUGGCCAAUAAAUGAAAGUGUAAGCAUUCCACCUCAAGAGUAAUACGGCAACGUAGAAACUGAAAUCAUUAGACCGUUUCUGAAACCAGUUGUGAAGCAUGUUAUUUAAUUCGAUGAUCCACGAAAAACCUUACCACAACUUGAAUGUAGAAGGUGUUAGGCCUAAUCCCUUACCCGGGAGUGUAUAGAUACUCUAGGCUGGAGCCGAAGAGUGGAAAUACCGAUACUGAGUUAGGGACCACUCCCCAAUAGGUUUUCUAUCCAAUACACAAGCGUUGCACGGCUGUCUUCAGUUAAUGUCGUGAGAUUUUGGUUAGCUCCAUUUAAUUGACGCAAACCCUUACUUUAUUUAAACCAUUAUAAAGUUGUAUGCAGAUACAAUUGAGUUGAUAAUAGGGACCAAGACAAGUCAUCAUGACCUAAAUGUUGUGGGCUAUAGACGUGCCACAUAUGCCUUUACAAAGGGAUGCAAAAAUGUGAAUUCUCGCUAAUCCCCUAAAAUAGGAUAUAAUAUGGAUUGCAGUCUGAAAUUCGACUGCGUGAAAAAGGAAUAACUAGUAAUCGUGUAUCACCAUGGCACGGUGGAUUUAAUCUCAGAUAGGUACUAAUUACUCGUCAGGCGCUGAAAGUAGUUUCUGCAAUAAGUUUGAGUUGGCUAAUUAUAAAGGAGCAAUGAGGCAUCCAGAGUCUUUAGUUCAAUUUUUCGUAUGCAGAAAUACGAUUGGUGUUAAGUCGAAAUACAGUUCGUGUAGUGGAAGUUGCACGG